GUCACCAUUGUUUUCCGUUCAAAUAUUUUAGCCUAAAAUGUAAAAUUCAUUUUGAAUUUUAUUUAAAUUCCUGACAAUUCUCACUUCACUGGAAAACCCUAUAAAGUAUCUGUGCUCAAGAUUACUCCACAGUGAAAGUAUGACAGCUAUUCACAGCCUUUCAUAUCUGAUCAAAGCCGGGCACAUAAUGAGGACAUAAAACAUUACUCGAGAGACAGAGGAAGGGC
Pelobates cultripes (western spadefoot toad) is the source of this 227-nucleotide non-coding RNA. The record is from the annotation of a GenBank genome assembly. NCBI's taxonomy places the organism in Eukaryota, Metazoa, Chordata, Amphibia, Anura, Pelobatidae.